UUGGACUAAAGUAAUUUGAUUUUAGUUAAUAAAGUAAUUUUUUCAUGAUUUUUACAUGUGAAUUUUAGUGGGGAUUAUUUGUUUUCUUAAAGAAAGUAAAAUUAGAGUAUUCGCAGUUUCAAAUAUUAUUAUAGAAUGAAUAUUUGUUUUAGUUAUUGAGAUUAUAAUUAGCUAAAAGUGUGCCAGCAGCUGCGGUUAUACACUUAAUUAAAAUUACUUUUUUUUAUUAAUAAUUACUAUUAUGUAAGUUGGAUUUAUAGGGCAAAUUUUUAGGGUAAAAUCUAUAAUUUGUUUUAUUUCUGGGUUAGGAUUUUAUGAUAUUUUUAUAUAAACUAGGAUUAGAUACCCUAUUAUUUUAAAUGUAAAUUUAAAAUAGUACUAAUAGAUAUGAUCUUUAAAUUAAAAGAAUUUGACGGUAAUUUAAUCUGUUCAGAGGAGCCUGUAUUUUAAUCGAUAAUCCACGAUAAAUUUUACCUUUUAAAUAUAAUUUGUAUAUCUCUGUCUUAAGAAUGUUUUAUUAGAAUUUUAUUUUCAGUUUUUUGUUUUAAACUUAAGUCAAGUCAAGGUGCAGUUUUUUAAGGAUUUUAUGGGCUACUUUAAUUUUAAUUAUGGAUAGACAAUUGUAUUAUUUUCUAGAAAAUGGAUUUGAUUGUAAUUUAUAUUAUCUUUUAUAUAUGAUAAUUGCCCUGUAUUAAGUACACAUCGCCCGUCGCUCUUAUUAUUCAAGAUAAGAUAAGUCGUAACAAAGUAGGCUUAUCGGAAGAUGAGCCUGGAAUUAAU
This 780-nucleotide non-coding RNA is filed under the name Urostylis flavoannulata. Lineage: Eukaryota; Metazoa; Arthropoda; Insecta; Hemiptera; Urostylididae. The record is from RNAcentral.